Molecule: long non-coding RNA, 310 nt
Filed under: Coturnix japonica (Japanese quail)
Lineage: Eukaryota; Metazoa; Chordata; Aves; Galliformes; Phasianidae
Description: lncRNA (ENSCJPG00005019614.1)
Source: RNAcentral
AGUCUUGAUGCUCAAGGUUUCCACCUGCAGUGCCAGAGCAGACAUCAUCUUGUUAUGUUUACUUUCCAGCACAGAUGAUCCAGCAAUCUGCGUCAGCACUUGACUUAAUUGCAAGAUGAAUCAGCCCUGCCAUUCUCAAGUCACCAGCUAAAGACUGCUAUGAAACUACAACAGAGGAACUUGGUUUAGCAUUUGGAAAUGUGGCCUACGAUAAGUUAAUGCAGUAAACAAAUUUAAAAUUAAACUUUUAUCUCAUUAAUCAACACUGAUAAAGUAGAAUGGAAUCUGAAUAAACAGAUUUAGAUUUCUC